CCUACGGGGAGCAGCAGUAGGGAAUCUUUCACAAUGGGCGAAAGCCUGAUGGAGCAACGCCGCGUGCAGGAUGAAGGCCUUCGGGUUGUAAACUGCUUUUAUAAGCGAGAAAUAUGAUGGUAACUUAUGAAUAAGGAUCGGCUAACUACGUGCCAGCAGCCGCGGUCAUACGUAGGAUCCGAGCAUUAUCCGGAGUAACUGGGUGUAAAGAGUUGCGUAGGUGGCAUAAUAAGUAGCUAGUGAAAUCUGGUGGCUCAACCAUUCAGACUAUUAGCUAAACUGUUAAGCUCGAGACCGUUAGGGGUAACUGGAAUUUCUAGUGUAGGAGUGAAAUCCGUAGAUAUUAGAAGGAACACCAAUAGCGUAGGCAGGUUGCUGGGACGGUUCUGACACUAAGGCACGAAAGCGUAGGGAGCAAACGGGAUUAGAUACCCCAGUAGUC
This 442-nucleotide ribosomal RNA is filed under the name uncultured bacterium. RNAcentral's name for it is "partial 16S ribosomal RNA". It matches the Rfam family "Bacterial small subunit ribosomal RNA", at positions 338 to 795 of the family's 1533-position model. The record is from RNAcentral.